Zea mays is the source of this 2342-nucleotide RNA transcript. It is a transcript of the gene named arginyl-tRNA synthetase, with no coding region annotated. The transcript has 18 exons. The record is from RefSeq and is marked validated. NCBI's taxonomy places the organism in Eukaryota, Viridiplantae, Streptophyta, Magnoliopsida, Poales, Poaceae.
GACAAGCCUCGCGCCGUCGCGCGGUGCCUGUGUACUGUGAGUCAGUGAGUGUGACUGUCUGUGUCGCGCACGCUACGCUACCUCCUGUGACCGUGAGAGGGGGAGGGGGUAUUUAACUGACGGCGGGACGAGGAUGCAAGCUCUCGCGGCAGCAGCAACUGCAGUGGCGGCGCCUACCCCCGCGCGCCUCCGUCUCCCGCUCCUCUUCCGCGCCCCGCGCUCCGGUCACUGUAGACCCGCUUCUUCCUCCAGGCUUCUGCGGAUCUCGUGCAGUGCCACCACUAUGGGAGACGAGACCUCGACCUCCGUUGCUCCUCAGGAGCAGGAAUCCACUGUGCGGGCUGGGAGUGUCAAGCAACAGCUCUCCAGGCUGGUCCUUUCAUCCCUCCAGACUACAUUGCCCGAUGUGGAGGUAGAACCGAUGGUUGAAGUUUCAGCAAAGUUUGCUGACUACCAGUGCAACAAUGCUAUGGGAUUAUGGUCAAAGGUUAAAGGAUCUGGAACAAUUUUCAAAAACCCUAAUUCCAUUGGGCAGGCCAUUGCCAAGAAUCUGCCGUCUUCUGAUAUUAUUGAAUCUGCAUCUGUUGCUGGACCUGGUUUUGUGAACAUUACCUUAUCAAACCGCUGGGUUGCACAGAGAAUACAAGAUAUGCUUGUUAACGGCAUCAAGACUUGGGCACCAGUUCUGCCAGUAAAUAGGACAGUGGUUGAUUUUUCAUCACCUAAUAUUGCAAAGGAAAUGCAUGUGGGACAUUUAAGGUCUACAAUUAUUGGAGAUACAUUAGCACGCAUGUUUGAGUUCUCGAAUGUUGUUGUUCUGCGCAGAAACCAUGUGGGAGAUUGGGGUACACAGUUUGGGAUGCUAAUAGAAUAUCUUUUUGAGAAAUUUCCAAAUUGGCAGGAGAUAGGUUGCCAGGCCAUUGGGGACCUUCAGAUUUUCUAUAAAGCAUCCAAGCAUAGGUUUGACAGUGAUCCAGACUUUAAAGCAAGGGCUCAACAAGGAGUUGUUCGGCUACAGGGAGGGGAGGAUAAAUAUCGAGAAGCAUGGAAAAAAAUUUGUGACAUUAGCAGGAGCGAAUUUGACUUGGUCUACAAGCGCCUAAAUGUGGUGCUUGAAGAAAAGGGGGAGAGUUUCUAUAAUCCUUAUAUUCCUCAAGUGCUGGAGGAAUUGAGUAACAAAGGCUUGAUCAAGGAGAGUGAGGGUGCCCGAGUUAUAUUUAUUCAAGGUCAUCAAAUCCCUUUGAUUGUUGUUAAGAGUGAUGGUGGCUUCAACUAUGCCUCAACAGACUUAACUGCUCUUUGGUAUCGGCUCAAUGUUGAGCAGGCAGAGUGGAUCAUAUAUGUUACAGAUGUUGGUCAGCAGCAGCACUUUGACAUGGUUUUCAGUGCUGCAAAGAUGGCCGGUUGGCUCCCAGAUCCAAGUGAAAAGAAGUUUCCGAAAACAAGCCAUGUUGGAUUUGGUCUUGUUCUUGGUUCAGAUGGCAAGCGGUUCCGAACCCGCAGUACUGAGGUUGUUCGAUUGGUAGAGCUACUUGAUGAGGCUAAAUCUCGGAGCAAAUCAGAACUACUACAACGGCUCACUGAAAAUGGCAAAAUUGUUGACUGGACGGAUGAGGAAUUAGAGCAAACUUCAGAGGCUGUUGGAUAUGGUGCUGUGAAGUAUGUUCUGGAAUGUCUUGUUUUAGAAAGAUGGCACCUCUUGAUUUGACUAAGCAAUAACUAAGUACGCUGAUCUAAAAAAUAACAGGCUCACUAAUUACACAUUUAGUUUUGAACAAAUGCUGAGCGAUAAGGGAAAUACUGCUGUGUACCUUCAGUAUGCACAUGCUCGUAUUUGUUCCAUUAUUCGGAAAUCCAACAAGAACGUGGAAGAGCUGAAGAUGAGUGGAGCCAUUUCUCUCGACCAUCCGGAUGAGCGCGUGUUGGGGCUGUAUCUUAUCCGAUUUGCAGAGGUUGUUGAAGAGGCAUGCACGAAUCUACUUCCAAAUGUUGUGUGUGAAUACUUGUACAAUCUAUCUGAAAUGUUCACAAAAUUCUAUACCAACUGCCAGGUGGUUGGGUCGCCGGAGGAGACGAGCCGGUUGUUGCUUUGCCAGGCGACUGCUGUUGUCAUGCGACAGUGCUUCAACCUGCUCGGGAUCACGCCAGUAUACAAGCUGUGAUUGGCUGCAUGUUCGAUUAAUACAUUCAACAUGUAGAAACCCCAAUUCAUCAUGGUUGCAGUUUUGGUCUUGUAACCUAGUUGAGGCAGUUAACAUAAUCUACUGUCCUGUUUGAAAACAGAAGGAACUCAAAAGGUUGUAUCAAAAUGUGCUUGCAGAGUUUCUGUUACUGUUAGGCUA